This 834-nucleotide ribosomal RNA is filed under the name metagenome. Its description in RNAcentral is "bacterial SSU rRNA". It matches the Rfam family "Bacterial small subunit ribosomal RNA", at positions 8 to 822 of the family's 1533-position model. The record is from RNAcentral.
AGAGUUUGAUCAUGGCUCAGAUUGAACGCUGGCGGUAACUUUUAAACAUGCAAGUCGAGCGGUAACAGACAUAAAGAUUCAGCUUGCUGAAUCCGGUGCUGACGAGCGGCGAACGGGUGAGUAACGCGUAGGAAUCUACCCAGUAGCGGGGGAUAGCCCGAGGAAACUCGGAUUAAUACCGCAUACGCCCUGAGGGGGAAAGGGGGCAGUUUACUGCUCUCACUAUUGGAUGAGCCUGCGUAAGAUUAGCUUGUUGGUGGGGUAAUGGCCUACCAAGGCAACGAUCUUUAGCUGGUCUGAGAGGACGAUCAGCCACAUUGGGACUGAGACACGGCCCAGACAUCUACGGAUGGCAGCAGUUAAGAAUAUUGGACAAUGGGGGCAACCCUGAUCCAGGUAUACCGCGUGUGUGAAGAAGGCCCUAGGGUUGUAAAGCACUUUAAUCAGAGAAGAAGCANUUUAAGUUAAUACCUUANUNUGUUGACGUUACCUGAAGAAUAAGGACCGGCUAACUCCGUGCCAGCAGCCGCGGUAAUACGGAGGGUCCAAGCGUUAAUCGGAAUUACUGGGCGUAAAGCGCGCGUAGGCGGUUUAGCAAGUUGNAUGUGAAAGCCCUGGGCUCAACCUAGGAACUGCAUUCAAAACUACUAAGCUAGAGUACGAGAGAGGAGAGUAGAAUUUCUGGUGUAGCGGUGAAAUGCGUAGAUAUCAGAAGGAAUACCAAUGGCGAAGGCAGCUCUCUGGCUCGUCACUGACGCUGAGGUGCGAAAGCGUGGGUAGCAAACAGGAUUAGAUACCCUGGUAGUCCACGCCGUAAACGAUGAGAACUAGCCG